CAGCUGCGAGACUUGGUGUGAAUUGCAGGACACAUUGAGCACUGAUUUUUCGAACGCGCAUUGCGGCCUCGGGUCUCGCCCGGGGCCUCGCCUGUCUGAGGGUCGGAUGCGACAUACCGAGAGGUGUACUCUUCACGACCUCCGUCUUCCGACGAUCCCAGUGUCGCAGGAAGUGGAGUGCUAUCGCCUCACGUGGCCGCUUCGGAGCGUUUCGGCGCUCCGUCGGCUCCAGUCUUGGUUCGGUGUUGACGGGGAAGACCUGCCUCGGCGUCCGUCUCGACGUGGCCGUGGGAAAGGCGAGUGAAACGUUCUUUCUGCACCGCUGGCUCACCGUUCGAGAUGCCGUGACGGCGGACCUUCCGUUUCUCAUUUUGUCGACCUCAGAUCAGACGAGACGACCCGCUGAAUU
This 409-nucleotide ribosomal RNA is filed under the name Dysdera lancerotensis. RNAcentral's name for it is "eukaryotic LSU rRNA". The stretch from base 1 to 105 matches the Rfam family "5.8S ribosomal RNA", at positions 50 to 154 of the family's 154-position model. Lineage: Eukaryota; Metazoa; Arthropoda; Arachnida; Araneae; Dysderidae. The record is from RNAcentral.